UGUCCGAAGCCCGUCUAGAUGGCGCCGG
Molecule: small RNA, 28 nt
Filed under: Bombyx mori (domestic silkworm)
Lineage: Eukaryota; Metazoa; Arthropoda; Insecta; Lepidoptera; Bombycidae
Description: ovarian small RNA-35676
Source: RNAcentral